RNAcentral lists this ribosomal RNA (513 nucleotides) under uncultured bacterium. Its description in RNAcentral is "bacterial SSU rRNA". It matches the Rfam family "Bacterial small subunit ribosomal RNA", at positions 8 to 521 of the family's 1533-position model. The record is from RNAcentral.
AGAGUUUGAUCCUGGCUCAGGAUGAACGCUGGCGGCGUGCCUAACACAUGCAAGUCGAGCGAAGCGCUUGAAUCUGAUUCUUCGGAUGAGGAUUCUUGUGACUGAGCGGCGGACGGGUGAGUAACGCGUGGGCAACCUGCCUUACACAGGGGGAUAACAGUUAGAAAUGACUGCUAAUACCGCGUAAGACCGCAGUACCGCAUGGUACAGCGGUAAAAACUCCGGUGGUGUAAGAUGGGCCCGCGUCUGAUUAGGUAGUUGGCGGGGUAACGGCCCACCAAGCCGACGAUCAGUAGCCGACCUGAGAGGGUGACCGGCCACAUUGGGACUGAGACACGGCCCAGACUCCUACGGGAGGCAGCAGUGGGGAAUAUUGCACAAUGGGGGAAACCCUGAUGCAGCGACGCCGCGUGAGCGAUGAAGUAUUUCGGUAUGUAAAGCUCUAUCAGCAGGGAAGAAAAUGACGGUACCUGACUAAGAAGCCCCGGCUAACUACGUGCCAGCAGCCGCGGU